RNAcentral lists this long non-coding RNA (237 nucleotides) under Capsicum annuum. RNAcentral describes it as "long non-coding RNA (CANN_LNC002517)". Lineage: Eukaryota; Viridiplantae; Streptophyta; Magnoliopsida; Solanales; Solanaceae. The record is from RNAcentral.
AUACUGCACAAUGUGUACAUAAUGUAUGUAUGCUUACAGUUUAAAAAUACUUCACAACUAAUUUAAUUGAUUAUACUGAUUAUUACUCUAUUUUUCAGGUUGGCAUAUCAGAUUUGUGAAGUGGAAUCACUUUUUUGUUAUAUGAUGUUAAAAACGUAUGCAAUGCGAGUUCACUAAACUUAAAACUCUUACCUAGCCAUUCAAAAUAAAUUCUUCAAUACUAAAUUACUUCAUCAU